Molecule: long non-coding RNA, 1566 nt
Organism: Oryctolagus cuniculus (rabbit)
Lineage: Eukaryota; Metazoa; Chordata; Mammalia; Lagomorpha; Leporidae
Source: Ensembl
AUGCCCCCUCGUCCACUUGAGUGUUGGACUUUACCUGGGCUCUGUCCAUGUGCGUCCGUGCCCCCUCGUCCACUCGAGUGUUGGACUUUUCCCGGGGCUCUGUCCAUGCGCGUCCGUGCCCCCUCAUCCACUUCACCGGGACUCUGUCCACUUCACCAGGGCUCUGUCCACGCGCGUCCGUGCCCCCUCGUCCACCCGAGAGUUGGACUUCACCCGGGCUCUGUCCACGCGCGUCCGUGCCCCCUCAUCCACUUCACCCGGGCUCUGUCCACGCGCGUCCGUGCCCCCUCGUCCACUCGAGUGUUGGACUUUUCCCGGGGCUCUGUCCAUGCGCGUCCGUGCCCCCUCAUCCACUUCACCGGGACUCUGUCCACUUCACCAGGGCUCUGUCCACGCGCGUCCGUGCCCCCUCGUCCACCCGAGUGUUGGACUUCACCCGGCUCUGUCCACGCGUGUCCGUGCCCCCUCAUCCACUUCACCCGGGCUCUGUCCACGCACGUCCGUGCCCCCUCGUCCACCCGAGAGUUGGACUUCACCCGGGCUCUGUCCACGCGCGUCCGUGCCCCCUCGUCCACUCGAGUGUUGGACUUUUCCCGGGGCUCUGUCCACGCGCGUCCGUGCCCCCUCAUCCACUUCACCCGGGCUCUGUCCACGCGCGUCCGUGCCCCCUCGUCCACUCGAAUGUUGGACUUCACCCGGGGCUCUGUCCACGCACGUCCGUGCCCCCUCAUCCACUUCACCUGGGCUCUGUCCACGCGCGUCCAUGCCCCCUCAUCCACUUCACCCGGGUUCUGUCCACGCACGUCCGUGCCCCCUCGUCCACUUCACCAGGGCUCUGUCCACGCGCGUCCGUGCCCCCUCGUCCACUUCACCCGGGUUCUGUCCACGCACGUCCGUGCCCCCUCGUCCACUUCACCCGGGUUCUGUCCACGCACGUCCGUGCCCCCUCGUCCACUUCACCCGGGCUCUGUCCACGCGCGUCCGUGCCCCCUCGUCCACCCGAGUGUUGGACUUCACCCGGGGCUCUGCUCCUCUCUGCCGGAGAAGCUGCUUCCUCCCGCAGUGCCUGGGCAGGCGCCAAGAUCACGGCUACUCCGGGUUGCUCUCUUCGCCUCCCACCUUCACCACACCCUCAACUCCUUUGCCACGCCCGGGCCGCACGUGAGCACAUCACUCUCCAGCUUGACCACCUUCGGUGAUCCUGAACUGCAUUCGGAAAAGAGUGCCACUCCUGGGCAAGCCGUGCCAGCCUUGACCCAGAGCCUCUGUUCCCUCGGGCGCAUUCCUGGCUGCCUGGGGCGUCUGUCAGUGAGUCCCCGGCCUGAGCACCCGCCCCAGCCUCAUCACCUGUCACCUGUCACCUGUCAGGCCCUCCCAGCUGCUGGUUCUUUCUGUGUCCAUCCACGCAUGCGAAUCACAGGAGGUCAGGGCAGGGCCCUGCUCACGCUGGAACCUGCAGCAGCAGCUUUGCACACCGGAGGGUGUGCAGCGUGUGCGGCACUGCACCAGGGCUGGCGGCACAGAACUGUCUUGCCCCUUAGCCUCCUGACAGCCGCUCCUCCUUGA